RNAcentral lists this ribosomal RNA (301 nucleotides) under uncultured bacterium. Its description in RNAcentral is "partial 16S ribosomal RNA". It matches the Rfam family "Bacterial small subunit ribosomal RNA", at positions 509 to 807 of the family's 1533-position model. The record is from RNAcentral.
CAGCAGCCGCGGGAAUACGGAGGGAGCUAGCGUUGUUCGGAAUUACUGGGCGUAAAGCGCACGUAGGCGGUUAUUCAAGUCAGAGGUGAAAGCCCGGGGCUCAACCCCGGAACUGCCUUUGAAACUAGAUGACUGAAAUCUUGGAGAGGUCAGUGGAAUUCCGAGUGUAGAGGUGAAAUUCGUAGAUAUUCGGAAGAACACCAGUGGCGAAGGCGACUGACUGGACAAGUAUUGACGCUGAGGUGCGAAAGCGUGGGGAGCAAACAGGAUUAGAUACCCCUGCAGUCCCUGUCUCUUAUAC